RNAcentral lists this ribosomal RNA (333 nucleotides) under Burkholderia sp. 229S. RNAcentral describes it as "bacterial SSU rRNA". It matches the Rfam family "Bacterial small subunit ribosomal RNA", at positions 1038 to 1377 of the family's 1533-position model. Lineage: Bacteria; Pseudomonadati; Pseudomonadota; Betaproteobacteria; Burkholderiales; Burkholderiaceae. The record is from RNAcentral.
GUGCUGCAUGGCUGUCGUCAUCUCGUGUCGUGAGAUGUUGGGUUAAGUCCCGCAACGAGCGCAACCCUUGUCCCUAGUUGCUACGCAAGAGCACUCCAGGGAGACUGCCGGUGACAAACCGGAGGAAGGUGGGGAUGACGUCAAGUCCUCAUGGCCCUUAUGGGUAGGGCUUCACACGUCAUACAAUGGUCGGAACAGAGGGUUGCCAAGCCGCGAGGUGGAGCCAAUCCCAGAAAACCGAUCGUAGUCCGGAUCGCAGUCUGCAACUCGACUGCGUGAAGCUGGAAUCGCUAGUAAUCGCGGAUCAACAUGCCGCGGUGAAUACGUUCCCGG